UGCCGGCGAGCGGCGGACGGGUGAGUAAAGUCUGGGGAUCUGGCUUAUGGAGGGGGAUAACCAUUGGAAACGGUGGCUAAUACCGCAUGAUGUCGCAAGACCAAAGUGGGGGACUUUAGAGCCUCACGCCAUAAGAUGAACCCAGAUGAGAUUAGCUAGUAGGUGUGGUAAUGGCGUACCUAGGCGACGAUCUCUAGCUGGUCUGAGAGGAUGACCAGCCACACUGGAACUGAGAAACGGUCCAGACUCCUACGGGAGGCAGCAGUGGGGAAUAUUGCACAAUGGGCGGAAGCCUGAUGCAGCCAUGCCGCGUGUGUGAAGAAGGCCUUAGGGUUGUAAAGCACUUUCAGCGGGGAGGAAGGCGGUAAGAGUAAUAUGCUUAUUGAUUGACGUCACCCGCAAAAGAAGCACCGGCUAACUCCGUGCCAGCAGCCGCGGUAAUACGGAGGGUGCAAGCGUUAAUCGGAAUAACUGGGCGUAAAGGGCAUGUAGGCGGUAAGUUAAGUCAGAUGUGAAAUCCCCGAGCUUAACUUGGGAACGGCAUUUGAGACUGGCUAGCUAGAGUUUUGUAGAGGGGGGUAGAAUUCCAGGUGUAGCGGUGAAAUGCGUAGAGAUCUGGAGGAAUACCGGUGGCGAAGGCGGCCCCCUAGACAAAGACUGACGCUGAGGUGCGAAAGCGUGGGUAGCAAACAGGAUUAGAUACCCUGGUAGUCCAUGCUGUAAACGAUGUCGAUUUGGAGGUUGUGGACUAGUGUUAUGGCGUCUGAAGCUAACGCGAUAAAUCGACCGCCUGGGGAGUACGGCCGCAAGGUUAAAACUCAAAUGAAUUGACGGGGGCCCGCACAAGCGGUGGAGCAUGUGGUUUAAUUCGAUGCAACGCGAAGAACCUUACCUACUCUUGACAUCCACGGAAUUGAGCAGAGAUGCUUAAGUGCCUUCGGGAGCCGUGAGACAGGUGCUGCAUGGCUGUCGUCAGCUCGUGUUGUGAAAUGUUGGGUUAAGUCCCGUAACG
Molecule: ribosomal RNA, 1012 nt
Filed under: Candidatus Regiella insecticola
Lineage: Bacteria; Pseudomonadati; Pseudomonadota; Gammaproteobacteria; Enterobacterales; Enterobacteriaceae
Description: bacterial SSU rRNA
Rfam family: Bacterial small subunit ribosomal RNA
Source: RNAcentral